ACGUGUUUGUUCUUUUCCCGGCUAUGGCGCCUCCUGUGGUGCUCUUCUCCUCCCGGACACCCAUCCUUCUCAUCCCAGACUCCGAUCCGCCGGCGGUGGAACUGGACUUCCCCUGCGUCCUAGUGCUUCUUCGUUCGAGAUCGAGCGGCCUCGAUCGGGGUUAAGGCGGCGGAUCGAUACGCGACGCCGAACGAGCGUGCCCAAAGGAACCUCGCGGGCUUAAAGGUGAGCUAGGAAUUAUUUGGGUCAGAGUCAUCCAGCUUUAGUCCAGUGAGAUGUAAGUCAAUACAACGUAAACUUUGUUCGUAUAUAAAUAUACUUCUUGUUCA
Molecule: long non-coding RNA, 329 nt
Organism: Musa acuminata AAA Group (dessert banana)
Lineage: Eukaryota; Viridiplantae; Streptophyta; Magnoliopsida; Zingiberales; Musaceae
Exons: 2
Source: RefSeq, a predicted model, not a curated record